AGAGUUUGAUCCUGGCUCAGGAUGAACUCUAGCUACAGGCUUAACACAUGCAAGUCGAGGGGAAACGACAUCGAAAGCUUGCUUUUGAUGGGCGUCGACCGGCGCACGGGUGAGUAACGCGUAUCCAACCUGCCCACCACUUGGGGAUAACCUUGCGAAAGUAAGACUAAUACCCAAUGAUAUCUCUAGAAGACAUCUGAAAGAGAUUAAAGAUUUAUCGGUGAUGGAUGGGGAUGCGUCUGAUUAGCUUGUUGGCGGGGUAACGGCCCACCAAGGCUACGAUCAGUAGGGGUUCUGAGAGGAAGGUCCCCCACAUUGGAACUGAGACACGGUCCAAACUCCUACGGGAGGCAGCAGUGAGGAAUAUUGGUCAAUGGACGAGAGUCUGAACCAGCCAAGUAGCGUGCAGGAUGACGGCCCUAUGGGUUGUAAACUGCUUUUAUAAGGGAAUAAAGUGAGUCUCGUGAGACUUUUUGCAUGUACCUUAUGAAUAAGGACCGGCUAAUUCCGUGCCAGCAGCCGCGGUAAUACGGAAGGUCCGGGCGUUAUCCGGAUUUAUUGGGUUUAAAGGGAGCGUAGGCCGGAGAUUAAGCGUGUUGUGAAAUGUAGAUGCUCAACAUCUGCACUGCAGCGCGAACUGGUUUCCUUGAGUACGCACAAAGUGGGCGGAAUUCGUGGUGUAGCGGUGAAAUGCUUAGAUAUCACGAAGAACUCCGAUUGCGAAGGCAGCUCACUGGAGCGCAACUGACGCUGAAGCUCGAAAGUGCGGGUAUCGAACAGGAUUAGAUACCCUGGUAGUCCGCACGGUAAAC
Molecule: ribosomal RNA, 812 nt
Filed under: uncultured bacterium
Lineage: Bacteria
Description: bacterial SSU rRNA
Rfam family: Bacterial small subunit ribosomal RNA
Source: RNAcentral